RNAcentral lists this ribosomal RNA (487 nucleotides) under uncultured bacterium. RNAcentral describes it as "bacterial SSU rRNA". It matches the Rfam family "Bacterial small subunit ribosomal RNA", at positions 28 to 526 of the family's 1533-position model. The record is from RNAcentral.
GACGAACGCUGGCGGCGCGCUUAACACAUGCAAGUCGAACGAAGAAGCUUGGUGCUUGCACCGAGUUAUCUUAGUGGCGGACGGGUGAGUAACACGUGAGCAACCUACCUCAUAGAGAGGGAUAACAUCUGGAAACGGAUGCUAAUACCUCAUAAUCUUUCUUUGCGGCAUCGCAGAGGACGGAAAGGGCAUACUGCUAUGAGAUGGGCUCGCGGCCGAUUAGGUAGUUGGAGUGGUAAAGGCACACCAAGCCUACGAUCGGUAGCCGGACUGAGAGGUUGGACGGCCACAUUGGGACUGAGACACGGCCCAGACUCCUACGGGAGGCAGCAGUGGGGAAUAUUGCACAAUGGAGGAAACUCUGAUGCAGCGACGCCGCGUGAGGGAAGAAGGUUUUCGGAUUGUAAACCUCUGUCUUUGGUGAAGAUAAUGACGGUAACCAAGGAGGAAGCCACGGCUAACUACGUGCCAGCCGCCGCGGUAAGAC